UGCGUAGGCGGAUUAAUAAGUCAGUGGUGAAAUCUUUCGGCUCAACCGAGAAACUGCCAUUGAUACUGUUGAUCUUGAGUUCGGUUGAGGUAGGUGGAAUGUGUAAUGUAGCGGUGAAAUGCUUAGAUAUUACACAGAACACCAAUUGCGUAGGCAGCUUACUAGACCGACACUGACGCUGAGGCACGAAAGCGUGGGGAGCGAACAGGAUUAGAUACCCUGGUAGUCC
This 229-nucleotide ribosomal RNA is filed under the name uncultured bacterium. RNAcentral's name for it is "partial 16S ribosomal RNA". It matches the Rfam family "Bacterial small subunit ribosomal RNA", at positions 568 to 796 of the family's 1533-position model. The record is from RNAcentral.